GACGAACGCUGGCGGCGCGCCUAACACAUGCAAGUCGAACGAGCGAGAGAGAGCUUGCUUUCUCGAGCGAGUGGCGAACGGGUGAGUAACGCGUGAGGAACCUGCCUCAAAGAGGGGGACAACAGUUGGAAACGACUGCUAAUACCGCAUAAGCCCACGGCUCGGCAUCGAGCAGAGGGAAAAGGAGCAAUCCGCUUUGAGAUGGCCUCGCGUCCGAUUAGCUAGUUGGCGAGGUAACGGCCCACCAAGGCAACGAUCGGUAGCCGGACUGAGAGGUUGAACGGCCACAUUGGGACUGAGACACGGCCCAGACUCCUACGGGAGGCAGCAGUGGGGAAUAUUGCACAAUGGGGGAAACCCUGAUGCAGCGACGCCGCGUGGAGGAAGAAGGUCUUCGGAUUGUAAACUCCUGUUGUUGGGGAAGAUAAUGACGGUACCCAACAAGGAAG
This 449-nucleotide ribosomal RNA is filed under the name uncultured bacterium. RNAcentral describes it as "bacterial SSU rRNA". It matches the Rfam family "Bacterial small subunit ribosomal RNA", at positions 28 to 490 of the family's 1533-position model. The record is from RNAcentral.